Molecule: long non-coding RNA, 666 nt
Organism: Xenopus laevis (African clawed frog)
Lineage: Eukaryota; Metazoa; Chordata; Amphibia; Anura; Pipidae
Exons: 2
Source: RefSeq, a predicted model, not a curated record
UUUAAGCAUUGUGUAAAUGGCACUUUGUGUUACCUACUGUACGAGGGAAGUGCACACCCUCUAAGUAGUUCUUAAAUGAACCUUUGCUAAAGGGCUGAGAAAAAGGCUCUAUUACCUUAUAUUGUAAGCACAGAUACCUAUAUAGCUUAUUGUAAUAUAAGAACGCUAUGUUAUAUUAUUCCAAUUUAAUGAGUAGAUGUGAAUUUUGGUAAGUCUCACAACAUACUAUGUAAAGUUUUGAUUCAGUUGGUGUAACAAUAUUUGGCGAAAUUAAGGAGGGGUGAAUGUAACACGGUUAACACAGUUAACUUAAAUAUAUAAAUGUUCGCCAAAUAUCUCAGAUCUGCAAGAGGUUAAAUUCCUGACAGGAAGAAUCACUUGGACUGUACCAAAAUACUGACCAAAAGUGCAGAAUAUACCUUUGAAUGUUUUACUGUUAAUUAUGUUCUAGUUAAGAAAUAAAUAGUUCUAACAGAGCAGCUAACUUCUGUGGGAAAGAUCAUAGCCACACUCUAAACAGAAUCUUUACCAGACCAUAAUCCUUAAUGGACUUUCCCUUACCCCCUGUCUAUAUCCCACCAUUUGGUCUGGUCCCUCCUCAGUGCUUUAGUUCCACAGAAGAGGUCCCCAGCAGACAGUGCCAAUCAAUAAAGCAUUGUAAAGUUA